GACGAACGCUGGCGGCGUGCUUAACACAUGCAAGUCGAACGGAAAGGCCCUGCUUUUGUGGGGUGCUCGAGUGGCGAACGGGUGAGUAACACGUGAGUAACCUGCCCUUGACUUUGGGAUAACUUCAGGAAACUGGGGCUAAUACCGGAUAGGAGCUCCUGCUGCAUGGUGGGGGUUGGAAAGUUUCGGCGGUUGGGGAUGGACUCGCGGCUUAUCAGCUUGUUGGUGGGGUAGUGGCUUACCAAGGCUUUGACGGGUAGCCGGCCUGAGAGGGUGACCGGCCACAUGGGGACUGAGAUACGGCCCAGACUCCUACGGGAGGCAGCAGUGGGGAAUAUGGCACAAUGGGCGGAGGCCUGAUGCAGCAACGCCGCGGGCGGGAUGACGGCCUUCGGGUGGUAAACCGCUUUCGCCUGUGACGAAGCGUGAGUGACGGUAAUGGGGAAAGAAGCACGGGCUAACUACGU
Molecule: ribosomal RNA, 467 nt
Filed under: uncultured bacterium
Lineage: Bacteria
Description: partial 16S ribosomal RNA
Rfam family: Bacterial small subunit ribosomal RNA
Source: RNAcentral